GACGAACGCUGGCGGCGUGCUUAACACAUGCAAGUCGAACGGUGAAGGGACCGGUUUUUGCUGGUUCUGGAUGAGUGGCGAACGGGUGAGUAACACGUGAGUAAUCUGCCCCCUUCUUCUGGAUAACCGCAUGAAAGUGUGGCUAAUACGGGAUAUUCUGCGCCUGCUGCAUGGUGGGUGUGGGAAAGAUAUUGUUUCGGUGGGGGAUGGGCUCGCGGCCUAUCAGCUUGUUGGUGGGGUGAUGGCCUACCAAGGCGGUGACGGGUAGCCGGCCUGAGAGGGUGGACGGUCACACUGGGACUGAGACACGGCCCAGACUCCUACGGGAGGCAGCAGUGGGGAAUAUUGCACAAUGGGCGCAAGCCUGAUGCAGCGACGCCGCGUGAGGGAUGGAGGCCUUCGGGUUGUAAACCUCUUUCGCCAGUGAAGCAGGCCUGUCCCUUUUGUGGGUGGGUUGACGGUAGCUGGAUAAGAAGCGCCGGCUAACUACGUG
RNAcentral lists this ribosomal RNA (493 nucleotides) under uncultured bacterium. RNAcentral describes it as "partial 16S ribosomal RNA". It matches the Rfam family "Bacterial small subunit ribosomal RNA", at positions 28 to 507 of the family's 1533-position model. The record is from RNAcentral.